CUACGGGGGGCAGCAGUGAGGAAUUUUGCGCAAUGGGGGAAACCCUGACGCAGCAACGCCGCGUGAGCGAAGAAGGCCCUCGGGUCGUAAAGCUCUGUCAAGUGGGAAAAAAGCCUUUUGAUCAAUACCCAAAAGGUUUGAUGGUACCACUGGAGGAAGCACCGGCUAACUCCGUGCCAGCAGCCGCGGUAAUACGGAGGGUGCAAGCGUUGUUCGGAAUUACUGGGCGUAAAGGGCGUGCAGGCGGUUUGGCAAGUCAGAUGUGAAAGCCCUGGGCUUAACCCGGGAAGUGCAUUUGAAACUGCCUUUCUUGAGUAUGGGAGAGGAGAGUGGAAUUCCCAGUGUAGAGGUGAAAUUCGUAGAUAUUGGGAGGAACACCCGUGGCGAAGGCGACUCUCUGGACCAAUACUGACGCUGAGACGCGAAAGCGUGGGGAGCAAACAGGAUUAGAUACCCGUGUAGUC
This 464-nucleotide ribosomal RNA is filed under the name uncultured bacterium. RNAcentral's name for it is "partial 16S ribosomal RNA". It matches the Rfam family "Bacterial small subunit ribosomal RNA", at positions 339 to 795 of the family's 1533-position model. The record is from RNAcentral.